Molecule: ribosomal RNA, 492 nt
Filed under: uncultured bacterium
Lineage: Bacteria
Description: bacterial SSU rRNA
Rfam family: Bacterial small subunit ribosomal RNA
Source: RNAcentral
GUAGCUUGCUACUUUUGCCGGCGAGCGGCCGUCGGGUGAGUAAUGCCUGGGAAAUUGCCCAGUCGAGGGGGAUAACAGUUGGAAACGACUGCUAAUACCGCAUACGCCCUACGGGGGAAAGCAGGGGACCUUCGGGCCUUGCGCGAUUGGAUAUGCCCAGGUGGGAUUAGCUAGUUGGUGAGGUAAUGGCUCACCAAGGCGACGAUCCCUAGCUGGUCUGAGAGGAUGAUCAGCCACAUCUGGAACUGAGACACGGUCCAGACUCCUACGGGAGGCAGCAGUGGGGAAUAUUGCACAAUGGGGGAAACCCUGAUGCAGCCAUGCCGCGUGUGUGAAGAAGGCCUUCGGGUUGUAAAGCACUUUCAGCGAGGAGGAAAGGUUGAUGCCUAAUACGUAUCAACUGUGACGUUACUCGCAGAAGAAGCACCGGCUAACCCCGUGCCAGCAGCCGCGGUAAUACGGAGGGUGCAAGCGUUAAUCGGAAAUUACUGG